RNAcentral lists this transfer RNA (75 nucleotides) under Candidatus Palibaumannia cicadellinicola. RNAcentral describes it as "Candidatus Baumannia cicadellinicola tRNA-Gly". It matches the Rfam family "tRNA". From Rfam's summary of the family: Transfer RNA (tRNA) molecules are approximately 80 nucleotides in length. The record is from RNAcentral. Lineage: Bacteria; Pseudomonadati; Pseudomonadota; Gammaproteobacteria.
GCGGGCAUAGUAUAAUGGUUAUUACGUCAGCCUUCCAAGCUAACUAUGUGGGUUCGAUCCCCACUGCCCGCUCCC